AAAGAGUAUAUCUUUUCACUGUUUAUACUCAAUGUUUGAUUAUCUGUUUUAUUUAAAAACGUUUUAUGAUUAUUAUUUUCAUUGUUAUGAGAUGAUAAAACAUGGAUAAUUGACUAUUUUUAAAAAAAUCACAAAAUUUUCAAAUAAUAUGAACGGUCAAACAUGGAACACGGAAAACUACAAAUUAAGUUAAU
This 194-nucleotide microRNA precursor is filed under the name Oryza brachyantha (malo sina). RNAcentral describes it as "MIR812 microRNA precursor family". It matches the Rfam family "MIR812 microRNA precursor family". The record is from Rfam by way of RNAcentral. Lineage: Eukaryota; Viridiplantae; Streptophyta; Magnoliopsida; Poales; Poaceae.